GCCUUAGCCGCGGUUAGAGCGGUGAACGCCGAGUCGCCACCUCUGAGGACGGCUCGGCCGGCUAGUCCAGAGCGGGAACGCAUGCGGCCGCGUUCUGCUUCCUAACUUCAGGAGCAGCGGAGAUUUUUGUUUCUUUUCCUACCACUCGCGGUGCACCACAGCCAGCCGGUAAACAAAAGCUGUUCCCGGGGAACGGAACGCCAAAGUGCAGACCCCGCGGGCAGCAAGGAGGAGAGACCCCAGGCUGAUACUGGGGCUCGGGACGCUUGUCGCGCUCGCCGCGGACCAGGCCUCAGCAUCGUCAGAGGCCGGCGGUCCUGGACCUGCACCCCUUCUCGGUCCGUCAAUUUGCGCCCCACUCCGGCCGAGCUGUCGCUGGCGUCGGGCUCCUCCGGGCUUGUGUGGAUGCUUCGUACCCGUAUUGCAGGAGGCAGAACUUCUUGAUAGCAUUCAGAUACUCGUUGAUUUGGCAUCUUGCUUGAGUUGGCUGAGUUCGAGAAUAUAGAAGGUGAACCCUAAAGAGGAGUACAUUGACCUACACAAGCUUAUCUGUGAACACUAGACCAGGUUCAGAUCCCAGUUCUUGUGGUCUCCGUUCAUCACGUUUUCUGCUACAAUGAGCUGCCUCCAGGUGACCGUGCUUAAAGUUCUCUUCUGUGCCCCAAAAUACCACAUCUCGACUAUUCAGUCAAUAGUAAUGGAGGCUUUGUACUGAUGGUGGAGCAGCUGCGAAAGCAGCAUGGAGUAGAAGCAGCACCUGGUGGAAGCUCACAAGGUUGGAUUUGUUUCUGAACAGGUGUGGGACUCCUCAUGGGGAUGCAGGUUGGAGUUUCUGCAUGCAUCCGAAGGCCUAGGCCAGGCCCAUUUGAGUUCUAAGGAAACCCUUGAUUUAACCAAGAAUGUUCUCCCACGCAUUGAAUAGAAAGCUAAAAGAGGUGGAUUAAAGGUAUAUAUGCCCCAGGUCCAUGAAAUCUUCUGCUCAGAGGGAAUUGUGAUAUAACGAACAAUAAAGAACCAUCAAUUCAUUUUAACAGUAUAUCAACAUAAGAAAAACAAGAUUUUUUUUUUUUACUUUUUUACAAUUUUACUGAGGUAUAAUAGAAGUACAACAAACUUACAUAUUUAAAGUUUAAACUACUAUUUAGUUUUAUUUCUGGGGGCUUUGUUUUCGUUUUUUGUUUUGUUUUUUGAAACAAGGUCAUGCUAUAUAUUCUAGGGUGGCCUUGGACACGUCGUGAUCCUCCUGUCCCAGCCUCCCCAGGGCUGGGAUUACGGGUGGGCGCCAUCACACUCAGUCAUUUUAAUAUACGUCUAUAUCAUGAAACCACAAUUAAGGUAAGAAAUACUUCCAUCCACCCGCACGUUUCCUAGUGCCUUUUUUAAUUUUCAUUUUUGUUAUUACGUUUUGGCAGCACAUUAGGAUUGCAUUCAUGGUGGGGAGUUGGAGCAUGUACAGAACACAUCUUAAUUCUUUUUAUUUUCUGUUUCACCUCCCUCCAUCCUAGUGCCUUCUGCAAUCCAUCCCUCCUUAAUGUCAUCACCAGACAACUACUAAUGUGCUGUCACUAUAAAUUAUGUCACCCCAGUUUUUCUCCAGUUACAUGUAGUCAUGCACCACAUAAUGACAUUUCAGUCAACAGUGGACCACAUAUAUGAUGGUUUUCCAGGAAGGUUAUAAUGGAGCUGGGCUUGGUGGCACAUACCUGUGAUCCCAGCAUUUGGAAGGCUGAGGUUGAGUAUCA
Molecule: long non-coding RNA, 1742 nt
Organism: Fukomys damarensis (Damara mole-rat)
Lineage: Eukaryota; Metazoa; Chordata; Mammalia; Rodentia; Bathyergidae
Exons: 3
Source: RefSeq, a predicted model, not a curated record